RNAcentral lists this ribosomal RNA (460 nucleotides) under uncultured bacterium. Its description in RNAcentral is "partial 16S ribosomal RNA". It matches the Rfam family "Bacterial small subunit ribosomal RNA", at positions 338 to 795 of the family's 1533-position model. The record is from RNAcentral.
CCUACGGGAGGCAGCAGUGAGGAAUAUUGGUCAAUGGACGAGAGUCUGAACCAGCCAAGUAGCGUGAAGGAUGACUGCCCUAUGGGUUGUAAACUUCUUUUAUAUGGGAAUAAAACGUUCCACGUGUGGGAUUUUGUAUGUACCAUAUGAAUAAGGAUCGGCUAACUCCGUGCCAGCAGCCGCGGUAAUACGGAGGAUCCGAGCGUUAUCCGGAGUUAUUGGGUUUAAAGGGAGCGUAGGUGGAUUGUUAAGUCAGUUGUGAAAGUUUGCGGCUCAACCGUAAAAUUGCAGUUGAAACUGGCAGUCUUGAGUACAGUAGAGGUGUGCGGAAUUCGUGGUGUAGCGGUGAAAUGCUUAGAUAUCACGAAGAACUCCGAUUGCGAAGGCAGUUCACUGGACUGCAACUGACACUGAGGCUCGAAAGUGUGGGUAUCAAACAGGAUUAGAUACCCUGGUAGUC